Molecule: ribosomal RNA, 292 nt
Filed under: uncultured bacterium
Lineage: Bacteria
Description: partial 16S ribosomal RNA
Rfam family: Bacterial small subunit ribosomal RNA
Source: RNAcentral
GUUUCAGCCGCCGCGGUAAUACGGGGGGUGCAAGCGUUGUUCGGAAUUAUUGGGCGUAAAGAGCGUGUAGGCGGCUUGAUAAGUCAGAUGUGAAAGCCCUGGGCUUAACCCAGGAAGUGCAUUUGAAACUGUCUCGCUAGAAUAAGGGAGGGGGAAGUGGAAUUCCUGGUGUAGAGGUGGAAUUCGUAGAUAUCAGGAGGAACACCGGUGGCGAAGGCGACUUCCUGGCCCUAUAUUGACGCUGAGACGCGAGAGCGUGGGUAGCAAACAGGAUUAGAUACCCGCGUAGUCC